AAUAAGUGCAGUCAUAGAUAUCCGAAUUUAUCGUUUUGACCAUCCGUCUUAUUUGAAAAUUUUAAGAAAAAUAUUUAAAAAAUUAGUCACACGUUAAGUACUAUUCAUAUUUUAUCAUCUAGUAACAAUAAAAAUACUAAUUAUAAUCUUUUUUCAAAUAAGACGAACAGUCAAACGUUGAACAUGAACAGUGCUAAAACUGCAUUUAUU
This 210-nucleotide microRNA precursor is filed under the name Oryza glumipatula. RNAcentral describes it as "MIR812 microRNA precursor family". It matches the Rfam family "MIR812 microRNA precursor family". The record is from Rfam by way of RNAcentral. Lineage: Eukaryota; Viridiplantae; Streptophyta; Magnoliopsida; Poales; Poaceae.